Molecule: ribosomal RNA, 847 nt
Filed under: Gibellula leiopus
Lineage: Eukaryota; Fungi; Ascomycota; Sordariomycetes; Hypocreales; Cordycipitaceae
Description: LSU rRNA
Rfam family: Eukaryotic large subunit ribosomal RNA
Source: RNAcentral
UUGCCCAGUAACGGCGAGUGAAGCGGCAGCAGCUCAGAUUUGAAAUCCGGCCCCCCAGCGGGCCCGAGUUGUAGUCUGCAGAGGAUGCCCUGGGCGCGGCGCCUUCCGAGUUCCCUGGAACGGGACGCCACAGAGGGUGAGAGCCCCGUACGGUCGGACGCCAGGCCCGUGUAGGGCUCCUUCGACGAGUCGAGUAGUUUGGGAAUGCUGCUCAAAGUGGGAGGUAUAUGUCUUCUAAAGCUAAAUACCGGCCAGAGACCGAUAGCGCACAAGUAGAGUGAUCGAAAGAUGAAAAGCACUUUGGAAAGAGGGUUAAAGAGCACGUGAAAUUGCUGAAAGGGAAGCGCCCGCGACCAGACUUGGGCCCGGCAGGUCACCCAGGCUCUCGGGCUGGGGGCACUCUGCCGGGCGCAGGCCAGCAUCGGCUCGGCGCGGGGGACAAAGGCGGCGGGAACGUGGCUCCUCAGGGAGUGCUUAUAGCCCGCCGCGCACGCCCCGUGCCGGGCCGAGCACGCGCACCGCAGGGUGCUGGCGUAAUGUCGCCGGCGACCCGUCUUGAAACACGGACCAAGGAUCGUCCUCGUAUGCGAGUGUUGGGGUGCCAAACCCCUACGCGCAGUGAAAGCGAACGCAGGUGAGACCGAAGCUCGGCGCAUCAUCGACCGAUCUGAUGUUCUCGGAUGGUUUGAGUAAGAGCAUACGGGGCCGGACCGAAAGAAGGUGAACUAUGCUGUGUAGGGUGAAGCCAGAGGAACUCUUGGUGGAGGCUCGCAGCGUUCUGACGUGCGAUCGAUCGUCAAACAUGGGCUGGGGCGAAGACUAUCGAACUUCUAGUAGCUGGUUCCGC